UGUAGUCAUAUGCUUGUCUCAAAGAUUAAGCCAUGCAUGUCUAAGUAUAGACAAAUUCAUACUGUGAAACUGCGAAUGGCUCAUUAAAUCAGUUAUAGUUUAUUUGAUGGUAUCUUACUACAUGGAUAACUGUGGUAAUUCUAGAGCUAAUACAUGCUUAAAAGCCCCGACUUCUGGAAGGGGUGUAUUUAUUAGAUAAAAAACCAAUGGGUGCAAGCCCUUCUUGGUGAUUCAUAAUAACUUCUCGAAUCGCAUGGCCUUGCGCCGGCGAUGCUUCAUUCAAAUAUCUGCCCUAUCAACUUUCGAUGGUAGGAUAGA
RNAcentral lists this ribosomal RNA (318 nucleotides) under uncultured fungus. RNAcentral describes it as "SSU rRNA". It matches the Rfam family "Eukaryotic small subunit ribosomal RNA", at positions 21 to 337 of the family's 1831-position model. The record is from RNAcentral. Lineage: Eukaryota; Fungi.